GGGUCAGUAGGUUGGUCGUGCCACCGGUACGUACUGGUCUCACUGAUUCCUCCUUCCUGAAGAACCGUAAUGCCAUUAAUUUGGUGUUGCGGGGAAACAGGACUGUUACUUUGAAAAAAUUAGAGUGUUUAAAGCAAGCUAACGCUUGAAUGCAUCAGCAUGGAAUAAUGAAAUAGGACGAUCGAUCCUAUUUUGUUGGUUUCUAGGAUUGACGUA
RNAcentral lists this ribosomal RNA (216 nucleotides) under Glomeromycotina sp. Its description in RNAcentral is "partial small subunit ribosomal RNA". The stretch from base 40 to 216 matches the Rfam family "Eukaryotic small subunit ribosomal RNA", at positions 686 to 864 of the family's 1831-position model. The record is from RNAcentral. Lineage: Eukaryota; Fungi; Glomeromycota.